GUAAAACGCUUGCUCCAAUGGCCACCAAACUUUUAUUUUAGUGCCGAUCAGUUCUGCACCAUGAUCUUUGCUGGUACGAGCCCUUUCAGAAUCCUUAUCUCUAGAUUCUUCAGUAUUAGUUGUUUUCUUUGUCUUCUUCUUCCACAGUUUGAUUCCAAAAAUUUGUUGCAGUGUUGGCUCUUUGUGUUCUUCGAGGUUUCCUUCUUCAUUUUUUAUGCCAGAUUCAGAUUUUCUCUCUGUUUCACAAUCUGAAGCAGACUCAUUCUUCUUUGAGUCGCUUCCUAGUUUUCUUUUGGCACACUGUGUGCGCUUGGUUCUCUCUCCCAAAUGAAGAGAAUCUUUUUUCUGAACUUGGGAUUGUGGCACAUCUCCUAUUGGAAUUGACACAACCAGCUCAUCAUCGUUAUUUAUCGGGAUCUCUUUUCUCUUGGACUGACACAGAUGACCAUGACUUCCAGUGCUAUUAUUGUGAUUUUCAGACACCAAAGAAUGAUGGCCACUACUAUCUGUAAGUUCAUGACUUCCAGUCCCUUCCUGGUUUUCUUUUGGCACAUUUGUUGCUGGUUGCACAUCUUCUGGAUUGUCAGGUUUCAUUAUGUUUGUUGUACAAGUAUCUUUUAGCUUCUCCCUGUGAAUGUCAUCCUGCAGCACUGGCUCACAAAAUUUAGCCUCGGAUGGACCAACUUUUACAGGAUGACCUGUAAGUUU
This 708-nucleotide unclassified non-coding RNA is filed under the name Hevea brasiliensis (rubber tree). Lineage: Eukaryota; Viridiplantae; Streptophyta; Magnoliopsida; Malpighiales; Euphorbiaceae. The record is from RNAcentral.